This is a long non-coding RNA of Homo sapiens (human), 765 nucleotides long. RefSeq lists it as uncharacterized. NCBI's taxonomy places the organism in Eukaryota, Metazoa, Chordata, Mammalia, Primates, Hominidae. The record is from RefSeq and is a predicted model, not a curated record. The transcript is spliced from 4 exons.
CUGGAUGAAUGAAUGUACAAAGAACAACAACAUCUUAAUUCCUGGAUUCAUACGUUUUCAAUACUAACCUAAACACCAUAGAGUCACCUAGAGACAACUGUAAUUUCUCUUCUAUUAACCAAAAAACUAUUAAUUUUAAAAGAAUAUUCACAUUAAACAUGGAGCAAUCUGCUCUGUUACAGCUCCACUAUACCUGUGACCUACAUUCUUGUGUAGCAUGCACUAGACUCAUGUUCUCAGCCAGGCUAUGGUGGUCAAUGAUCAUAGUUAGUCUAUCACUGAUACAUGUUUGUCAGCUUGCUCAACCAAACAUCUGUCCCUGUUUGAUCUUAACAUAAAAGUCCAAAGUUAGACUUAUCUCAAAUCCUAGUCAUAGCUAUUAAUGAUUAAGAGAGACAAUGUGAUAGAUCCUAUCUACAAAUAACUAUUUGGAAGGCAGAAGUUUGGAGAGACAUUAACUCUUUCAGCAUUUAUUUAUCAGAGUACUCUGGCUGAAAAAAAAAUUGUAGAAGCUUCUCCAGAAUUAAAUGUUUAAAGAACAUUAUUUGAAGGAGACAGUAAAAGAAAAGGGAUGUAACAGGUGAAACAAGACUGACCAUGUUUUAAUAAGCUGGCUAAUAGAUUCGGGUGUACAUGUGCAGGUCUGUUACCUGGGAAUACUGCGUGAUACUGAACUUUGGGGUACAAGUGAUCCUGUCACCCAGGUACUGAGCACAGUACCCAACAGGUAGUUUUUCAACCCUCUCCCUCUAGUAGUCCCCAGUG